Molecule: ribosomal RNA, 468 nt
Filed under: uncultured bacterium
Lineage: Bacteria
Description: partial 16S ribosomal RNA
Rfam family: Bacterial small subunit ribosomal RNA
Source: RNAcentral
GACGAACGCUGGCGGCGUGCUUAACACAUGCAAGUCGAACGGAAAGGCCCUGCUUUUGUUGGUUGCUCGAGUGGCGAACGGGUGAGUAACACGUGAGUAACCUGCCCUUGACUUUGGGAUAACUUCAGGAAACUGGGGCUAAUACCGGAUAGGAGCUCCUGCUGCAUGGUGGGGGUUGGAAAGUUUCGGCGGUUGGGGAUGGACUCGCGGUUUAUCAGCUUGUUGGUGGGGUAGUGGCUUACCAAGGGUUUGACGGGUAGCCGGCCUGAGAGGGUGACCGGCCACAUUGGGACUGAGAUACGGCCCAGACUCCUACGGGAGGCAGCAGUGGGGAAUAUUGCACAAUGGGCGGAAGCCUGAUGCAGCAACGCCGCGUGCGGGAUGACGGCCUUCGGGUUGUAAACCGCUUUCGACUGUGACGAAGCGUGAGUGACGGUAAUGGGUAAAGAAGCACCGGCUAACUACGUG